Molecule: ribosomal RNA, 609 nt
Filed under: uncultured fungus
Lineage: Eukaryota; Fungi
Description: eukaryotic LSU rRNA
Rfam family: Eukaryotic large subunit ribosomal RNA
Source: RNAcentral
ACCCGCUGAAUUUAAGCAUAUCAAUAAGCGGAGGAAAAGAAACCAACAGGGAUUGCCUUAGUAACGGCGAGUGAAGCGGCAAAAGCUCAAAUUUGAAAUCGGCCACCAGGUCGAGUUGUAAUUUGUAGAUUGUAUCUUGAGAGCGGAUUAAAGUCUGUUGGAACACAGCGCCUUAGAGGGUGACAGCCCCGUAAAAUCUAUUCUCAUUGUAAGAUACUUUCGAAGAGUCGAGUUGUUUGGGAAUGCAGCUCUAAGUGGGAGGUAAAUUCCUUCUAAAGCUAAAUAUUGACGAGAGACCGAUAGCGAACAAGUACUGUGAAGGAAAGAUGAAAAGCACUUUGAAAAGAGAGUGAAAAAGUACGUGAAACUGUUAAAAGGGAAGGGUAUUGAAUCAGACUUGGUGCUGUUGUUCGACUGUGUUUCGGCAUAGUGUACUCAGCAGUACUAGGCCAAGGUGGGGUGUUUGGGAGUGAAAAAGAAGUAGGAACGUAACUCUUCGGAGUGUUAUAGCCUACUUUCAUAGCUCCUCAGGCGCCUCAGGACUGCGCUUCGGCAAGGACCUUGGCAUAAUGACUCUAUACCGCCCGUCUUGAAACACGGACCAAGGAG